RNAcentral lists this ribosomal RNA (329 nucleotides) under uncultured eukaryote. RNAcentral's name for it is "partial 18S ribosomal RNA". It matches the Rfam family "Eukaryotic small subunit ribosomal RNA", at positions 1470 to 1796 of the family's 1831-position model. The record is from RNAcentral.
CCCUUAGAUGUUCUGGGCCGCACGCGCGCUACACUGAUGCAUUCAACGAGUCUAAAACCUGCUCUGAUAGGGGUGGGUAAUCUUUUGAAUGUGCAUCGUGAUUGGGAUAGAUGAUUGCAAUUUUUCAUCUUCAACGAGGAAUGCCUAGUAAACGCAAGUCAUCAGCUUGCAUUGAUUACGUCCCUGCCCUUUGUACACACCGCCCGUCGCUCCUACCGAUUGAAUGAUCCGAUGAAUAUCAUGGAUUGAGGAUGCAAGCAGGUUCGCCUGUCUUCAUCUUCGAGAAGUGAAGUAAAUCUUAUCAUUUAGAAGAAGGAGAAGUCGUAACA